GAGUUUGAUCGUGGCUCAGAUUGAACGCUGGCGGCAUGCCUUACACAUGCAAGUCGAACGGCAGCACGGGAGCUUGCUCCUGGUGGCGAGUGGCGAACGGGUGAGUAAUGCAUCGGAACGUAUCCUGGAGUGGGGGAUAACGUAGCGAAAGUUACGCUAAUACCGCAUAUUCUGUGAGCAGGAAAGCGGGGGACCUUCGGGUCUCGCGCUCUUGGAGCGGCCGAUGUCGGAUUAGCUAGUUGGUGAGGUAAAGGCUCACCAAGGCGACGAUCCGUAGCAGGUCUGAGAGGAUGAUCUGCCACACUGGAACUGAGACACGGUCCAGACUCCUACGGGAGGCAGCAGUGGGGAAUUUUGGACAAUGGGGGCAACCCUGAUCCAGCCAUGCCGCGUGAGUGAAGAAGGCC
This 407-nucleotide ribosomal RNA is filed under the name bacterium enrichment culture clone ALO1_GLFRUDD03GSWG9. Its description in RNAcentral is "bacterial SSU rRNA". It matches the Rfam family "Bacterial small subunit ribosomal RNA", at positions 9 to 416 of the family's 1533-position model. The record is from RNAcentral.